Molecule: ribosomal RNA, 1172 nt
Filed under: uncultured Bacteroides sp.
Lineage: Bacteria; Pseudomonadati; Bacteroidota; Bacteroidia; Bacteroidales; Bacteroidaceae
Description: bacterial SSU rRNA
Rfam family: Bacterial small subunit ribosomal RNA
Source: RNAcentral
AGUUUGAUCCUGGCUCAGGAUGAACGCUAGCUACAGGCUUAACACAUGCAAGUCGAGGGGCAGCAUUUUAGUUUGCUUGCAAACUAAAGAUGGCGACCGGCGCACGGGUGAGUAACACGUAUCCAACCUGCCGAUAACUUGGGGAUAGCCUUUCGAAAGAAAGAUUAAUAUCCGAUGGUAUAUUAAAACCGCAUGGUUUUACUAUUAAAGAAUUUCGGUUAUCGAUGGGGAUGCGUUCCAUUAGUUUGUUGGCGGGGUAACGGCCCACCAAGACUACGAUGGAUAGGGGUUCUGAGAGGAAGGUCCCCCACAUUGGAACUGAGACACGGUCCAAACUCCUACGGGAGGCAGCAGUGAGGAAUAUUGGUCAAUGGACGAGAGUCUGAACCAGCCAAGUAGCGUGAAGGAUGACUGCCCUAUGGGUUGUAAACUUCUUUUAUAUGGGAAUAAAGUAUUCCACGUGUGGGAUUUUGUAUGUACCAUAUGAAUAAGGAUCGGCUAACUCCGUGCCAGCAGCCGCGGUAAUACGGAGGAUCCGAGCGUUAUCCGGAUUUAUUGGGUUUAAAGGGAGCGUAGGUGGAUUGUUAAGUCAGUUGUGAAAGUUUGCGGCUCAACCGUAAAAUUGCAGUUGAAACUGGCAGUCUUGAGUACAGUAGAGGUGGGCGGAAUUCGUGGUGUAGCGGUGAAAUGCUUAGAUAUCACGAAGAACUCCGAUUGCGAAGGCAGCUCACUAGACUGCAACUGACACUGAUGCUCGAAAGUGUGGGUAUCAAACAGGAUUAGAUACCCUGGUAGUCCACACAGUAAACGAUGAAUACUCGCUGUUUGCGAUAUACAGUAAGCGGCCAAGCGAAAGCAUUAAGUAUUCCACCUGGGGAGUACGCCGGCAACGGUGAAACUCAAAGGAAUUGACGGGGGCCCGCACAAGCGGAGGAACAUGUGGUUUAAUUCGAUGAUACGCGAGGAACCUUACCCGGGCUUAAAUUGCAUUUGAAUAAUCUGGAAACAGGUUAGCCGCAAGGCAAAUGUGAAGGUGCUGCAUGGUUGUCGUCAGCUCGUGCCGUGAGGUGUCGGCUUAAGUGCCAUAACGAGCGCAACCCUUAUCUUUAGUUACUAACAGGUCAUGCUGAGGACUCUAGAGAGACUGCCGUCGUAAGAUGUGAGGAAGGUGG